This 2651-nucleotide long non-coding RNA is filed under the name Sus scrofa (pig). RNAcentral describes it as "lncRNA (ENSSSCG00000037997.3)". The record is from RNAcentral. Lineage: Eukaryota; Metazoa; Chordata; Mammalia; Artiodactyla; Suidae.
GCGCGCCGUCGAGGUCCCCGCGUCGCCGCCCUCUGCCUUUCGUAACUCGGCGCGGGGUCUGGGUUUGCAGGGCUUUGAAAACGAGCCCCCGGCGCCUUGCGCCCUCUCUUCCGGCGCUCUGGCCGCAGAUUCGGGUAGCGCCGGCCACCGUGGACCAUUUUUCUUUUUUUCCUGCUUCGCGGCGUUCCAGGAUUUUCUCUUCCGGGUCGCUCUGAGGCACGCUCUGCCUCUGGGUUUCUAUUUGGCGUCAUCCGUGUGCAGAGGCGGCUGAGAUUUCGGCAACACAACAGCCUGGCCUUGACUGCAGCUCCAUCCCCAGCUCGGUGGGUAGCUGAGCUGGCUGAGUCAUUAGAUGAUGACUUGAAAGAAAGACCAAAGACAGGUAAGCCUUUCGGGAAGCUUUUGUGAUACCUAGACUUAAAAUAAUGGAGGUCUGCUCUAAGGAAGACAGUGGUAUGAGGUUUGGAGAAACAUUAAGGGGGACAGGAGAGGACUUUGUAGUGGGGAGUUAGCAAUGGAAGUGGGUGAAGUCCUGAGGGUUGGGGCAUGAGGCAUUUCAGGCUUUGAAGGAAGAAUAAGCAAAAGGUUAAGGGAGAAACGCUGGAGUUUAUACCGGCAGCUGUGAAUAGUUGCAGAACACAAGCGCUGGGAUGAAGAGUGGGGCUGCAUUAGAGAAGGAGGGUGGAGGCCAUUGACUUUGGGAGAGACCACGGGCAGUUCUGAGCAAAAGAGAGGUGAUUGGAAAUGUGCUUCAAGAGCAUUUUUCGUGGUAAUAAAGGAUCGUAAAUGGUUCAAGACUUGAGGCCCUGGCAGAGAAGGCUCAGGAAUAAAAGACUCGUUCUUUGUAUUGUGCUAAUUAAACUGUGGCCAUUUAAUCGCUGUUCUUGGGCAGUAAUGAAUAAUUGAUUUGACCAAUAAAUUAGUGACCCGGUGAGAUGGUUUCUUCCUUUUAUCUGCUUUUCUGGCCUCGGUUGUAUUUUUUAAAGAAAAAAGCAGAUCUCAUUCUUCCAGUGUCAUAGUGCAGCAGGGCAUUACAUAAAAAUAGCCUAGGUUGAUUAAAACAUUUUUUUCAGUUCAUUUGCUCUUGCUGUGGAUGGUUUUCUGAGCACCUGUUUGACACCAGAUGUCUUAAAUCUCGUAUGACUUUGGAAGAUGACUUUUUAAUGGGCCACUUAGACACUUUCUAAAAAUGAUUGUGAUUUAGAUCAUAGGUUCCGAAAUGAACAACUGACCAACACAGUUCUUUUGGAAGAGAGUGUAGAGAUAAGCAUCCCAUCUCACAAUGAAGAUAAUAUGUGGGCAUCUGGAGUCUGUUGACUCAUUAGCAAAACUGGAUUUCUCAAGCCUCUCAGGAUGUAGGCUAUGAGUCAGACUGAAGCUAGCAGGGAAGAGAGGCCCUUGUUGGGCAUUGGGCUUGGGAGGUGCAUCUUCCCUGACGUUCUCUGUAUGUUUCCUAAGAGAUAUUGAUACAGAUUUGAUUCGUGGCUGGUCUCCCAGGAUGGUGCUCUCGGCAUGGAAUCAGGCUCUCCAUGUGGGGGUGUCCUAACUCCCAAGAAGACUGGUGAUAAAUCGCCCUAAUCCUUUUAAAAAUUGUAUUUAAAAUUUUUCUUAUUAAAUUUAUUUUUUUAUUAGGGUGUAGUUGAUUUACAGCAUUGAGUCAUUUUCUGCUGUACAGCCUAGUGACCCAGUCAUACAUAUAUGUGCAUUCUUUUUCUCUUGUCAUCUUCCAUCAUGCUCUAUCCCAAGAGACUGGAUAUAGGUCCCUGUGCUGUACAGCAGGACCUCAUGGCUUAUCCAUUGGAAAUGUAAUAGUUUGCAUCUACCAACCCAAACUCCCCGUCCAUCCCACUCCCUCCCCUUACCCCUCUGGCAACCACAAGUCUGUUCUCUAUGUCUGUGAGUCUGUUUCUGUUCUGUAGAUAAGUUCACUUGUUAAUUUCCCCUGAUCGUUUUUUAUCCUUUAUUGAAAUGAAGGCAUUUCUCUCUCUAUUAUGUGAUAAAGUUUUUCUUUCUUUUUUUCUGCAACAGUUUGGAGUAGACCUGGGGUUUGCCCCGUAAAUAAUUUCUUUUUCAGAGUUACUCAGUAGAUAGAUAGAAAUUGUUGGAGAAGUUUGGACGCAGAGAAGGGUGGCUGAUCUACUAAAGAAGAGGAGUCAGAAUUUGCUACUCAGGAGUUCCCUGAUGGCCUAGUGGGUUAAGGAGCUGAUAAUGUCACACUUGUGGUUUGGGAUCAAUCCUUGGCCAGGAAGUUCCGCAUGCUGUGGGCAUGAACAACAACAACAACAGCAAAAAAUUGGAAUUUACCACUUUUUGACAAAGCGCCUUAAUCUCACUAUUUAUUUUUCAAGUUGCUUGUGUACAGACCACUAGACGUGCAUCAGAAUCGCCUGAGAGGCUUCUAAAACAUAUAUCCUUAUAAUCAGCUCUAGCCCCAUAAGUCUGUGUUGGACUCAGCGUUUUGCAUUUUCAAAAGUUCCCUGGGGAAUUCCUGUUGUGACUCAGCAGGUGAAGAACUCAGCAUAGAAUCUGUGAGGAUAUGGGUUCCAUCCCUGACCUCGCUCAGUGGGUUAAGAUCUGGCGUUGUCAUAAGCUGUCAGGUAGAUCCACAGACUUCUAGCCCGGGAACUUCCAUAUGCCGCAGGUGUAGCUAU